RNAcentral lists this ribosomal RNA (2954 nucleotides) under Candidatus Omnitrophota bacterium. RNAcentral describes it as "23S ribosomal RNA". It matches the Rfam family "Bacterial large subunit ribosomal RNA". Lineage: Bacteria; Pseudomonadati; Candidatus Omnitrophota. The record is from RNAcentral.
GGUCAAGCUACGAAGGGUCUAUGAUGGAUGACUUGGCAAGGUAGUGCGAUGAAGGACGGGGUAAGCACCGAUAUGCUCUGGGGAGUCGCAAACAGACUUUGAUCCAGAGAUCUCCGAAUGGGGUAACCUACCUCGAAUAUUCGGGGUAUCUACUGCUGAAUCCAUAGGCAGUAGAGGCGAUACUAGGGGAACUGAAACAUCUCAGUACCCUAAGGAAAAGAAAUCGAAAGAGAUUCCCCCAGUAGCGGCGAGCGAAAAGGGAAAAGCCUAAAUCCGCCAAGUUUCUUGGCGGAGGUUGUGGGACUCCCAUUUUUCAGGUAGAUGGAGGAAUAGCAGAAGUAUCUGGAAAGAUACGCCCAAGAAGGUGAAAGCCCUGUAUGCGAAAUUCCAAGAUCGCCUGGGGAUGUUCCCAAGUACCACGGGACACGGGAAAUCCUGUGGGAAUCUGGGCCGACCAAGGUCUAAGGCUAAAUACUCACCUUGACCGAUAGUGCACAAGUACCGUGAGGGAAAGUUGAAAAGAACGCAGGUUAUGCGAGUGAAAUAGAACCUGAAAUCAUAGACCUACAAGCGGUAGGAGGGCUAUGUCCGCUAUUCUUAUAGCGGAAAUGCCUGACUGCGUACCUUUUGCAUAAUGGACCGACGAGUUAUUCUUGCAAGCGAGUCUAAUCUGCCAACUUCUUUGGCAGAGGAGGCGCAGGGAAACCGAGUCCUAACCAGGGCGAUUUAGCUUGCAGGAAUAGACCCGAAACCGAGUGAUCUACCCAUGGCCAAGGGGAACUCUGAUGAAAAUCAGAGGGACGCCUGAACCCGUCACUGUUGAAAAAGUGUGGGAUGAGCUGUGGGUAGGAGUGAAAGGCUAAACAAACUCGGAAAUAGCUGGUUCUCCCCGAAAUAUCUCUAGGGAUAGCCUCGGGUUAACUACGUAAGAGGGGUAGAGUGCUGAAUGGGUUACGGGUCCUUACCAGGACACUGAACCCAACCAAACUUCGAAUACUCUUACGACUAUCCCGGGAGUAAGACGUUGGGGGAUAAGCUCCAUCGUCAAAAGGGAAUCAGCCCAGAUCACCAGCUAAGGUCCCUAAAUAUAGGCUAAGUGGUAAAGGAUGUGGAAUCGCUAAGACAACCAGGAUGUUGGCUUAGAGGCAGCCAUCAUUUAAAGAGUGCGUAACAGCUCACUGGUCGAGCGAUUCUGCGCCGAAGAUCCACGGGGCUUAAGCCUAUUACCGAAGCUGUGGUUCGCCAAAAUUUUUUGGCGAAGGUAGGGGAGCGUUCUGCAUGCAGAGAAGGUAGACCGUAAGGACUACUGGAGUAUGCAGAAGUGAUUAUGUCGGUAUGAGUAGCGAAAAUGCCGGCGAGAAACCGGCACGCCGAAAGUCUAAGGUUUCCUGGGGAAGGUUAAUCCGCCCAGGGUUAGUCGAGCCUAAGCCGAGGCUGAUAUAUGCGUAGGUGAUGGGUAUGCCGUUAAUAUUCGGCAACCAACUAAAUAACGUUAUUACUUGGUAGAAGACGCAGUGAGGUCAGUACUGCAGAGUGCUGGAAGUCUCUGUUUCUGUCGGAGUAAUCCGAUGGAGGGACCUCAAGGUUUUCCGCGAGGGAAGUGUACUGAAUCUUGCUGCCAAGAAAAUUCUAUCCAAGGAGUUAUUUAGUUGUUCGUACCGGAAUCCGACACAGGUAGACCACCAGAGAAUGGUAAGGCGCUCGAGAUAACCCUCGUUAAGGAACUCGGCAAAAUAGCCCCGUAACUUCGGGAGAAGGGGUCCCGUCAUGAAAAAUGGCGGGCUCAGUAAAGUGGCCCGGGUGACUGUUUAGUAAAAACACAGCACUCUGCGAACUCGAAAGAGGAUGUAUAGGGUGUGAAACCUGCCCGGUGCUGGAAGGUUAAGGGGAGGAGUUAUUUCCGAAUUUUCGGAGAGAAGCUCUGAACCGAAGCCCCAGUGAACGGCGGCCGUAACUAUAACGGUCCUAAGGUAGCGAAAUUCCUUGUGGGGUAAGUUCCCACGCGCACGAAUGGUCUAACAACUUGGGCGCUGUCUCAACGAGGGACUCGGCGAAAUUGUAGUGGCGGUGAAGAUGCCGUCUACCCGCAUCAAGACGAAAAGACCCCGGAACCUUUACUGCAACCUGUUAUUGGAUUUUGGUCCCAUAUGUGUAGAAUAGGUGGGAGGCUGUGAAGUUCCGACGCUAGUUGGAAUGGAGCCGCAAUGUGAAAUACCACCCUUAUGGUACUAAAGUCCUAAUCUUGUUCCUUGAAUCAGGACAGGAGACAGUGGCAGGUGGGCAGUUUGACUGGGGCGGUUCCCUUCUGAAAGGUAACGAAGGGGCCCAAAGGUUGGCUCAAGGCGGUCGGCAAUCGCCUGUGGAGUGUAAGCGCAUAAGCCAGCUUGACUGUGAGGGAGGCAUCCCGAGCAGGUACGAAAGUAGGGGCUAAUGAUCCGGUGGUUCUGUUUGGAAGGGCCAUCGCUCAACGGAUAAUAGGUACUCCGGGGAUAACAGGCUGAUCGGGCUCGAGAGUUCACAUCGACAGCCCGGUUUGGCACCUCGAUGUCGGCUCAUCCUAUCCUGGGGCUGGAUAAGGUCCCAAGGGUCCGGCUGUUCGCCGGUUAAAAGGGUACGCGAGCUGGGUUUAGAACGUCGUGAGACAGUUCGGUCUCUAUCUGAUGUGGGCGCGAGGAUACUUGAAGGGAAGCUCUCCUCAGUACGAGAGGACCAGGAGAGACGAACCUCUGGUGUUCCAGUUAUCGAGCCUUCGGUAAAGGCUGGGUAGCUAUGUUCGGAAGGGAGAAGCGCUGAAGGCAUCUAAGCGCCAAACCCCUCCCAAGAAUAGGUAUCCCUUCUGCCAUUAAUCGUGGCAGAUGAAGGCAUCCUGAAGACUACAGGAUUGAUAGGCGGGAAGUGUAAGACCCGUAAGGGUUUGAGCUAACCCGUACUAAUCUGCCAAUCGGCUUGACCAU